Molecule: ribosomal RNA, 251 nt
Filed under: uncultured prokaryote
Description: partial 16S ribosomal RNA
Rfam family: Bacterial small subunit ribosomal RNA (bases 41-251)
Source: RNAcentral
CCUUCUUCCUCCCUCUUUCUCCUUCCUUCCUUUUCUUCCCGUUCUUUUCUGCGGCACGGUAAGUCAACCGUGAAAGCUCCCGGCUAAACUGGGAGAGGUCGGAUGAGACUGCCGAGCUAGAGGGUCGUAGAGGGGUGUGGAAUUCCGGGUGUAGUGGUGAAAUGCGUAGAGAUCCGGAGGAACACCAGAGGCGAAGGCGGCACCCUGGACGACACCAGACGCUGAGACGCGACAGCACGGGGAGCGAACGG